GAUGAACGCUAGCGGCAGGCUUAACACAUGCAAGUCGAGGGGCAGCGCGGGAUAGCAAUAUCCUGGCGGCGACCGGCGGAAGGGUGCGUAACGCGUGUGCGACAUGCCCGUUGCCCGGGGACAACCGGUGGAAACGCCGACUAAUCCCCGAUGGGAUAUUGUGCCGCAUGGGCCGAUGUUGAAAGUUACGGCGGGGUCGGGUUGGCUCGCGUCCGAUUAGCCUGUUGGCGGGGUAACGGCCCCCCAAGGCUGCGAUCGGUAGGGGUUCUGAGAGGAAGGCCCCCCGCAAUGGGACUGAGACACGUCCCAUACGCCUACGGGAGGCAGCAGUGAGGAAUAUUGGUCAAGGGGCGGAAGCCAGAACCAGCCAGGCCGCGUGCGGGAAGGAGGCCGUAGGGGCUGUGAACCGCUUUUGCGUGGGGGCAAUAAGGGCGUCGCGCACGUCCGAUGAGAGUACCAGGCGAAUAAGCAUCGGCUAACUCCGUG
Molecule: ribosomal RNA, 486 nt
Filed under: uncultured bacterium
Lineage: Bacteria
Description: partial 16S ribosomal RNA
Rfam family: Bacterial small subunit ribosomal RNA
Source: RNAcentral